This 628-nucleotide ribosomal RNA is filed under the name uncultured fungus. RNAcentral's name for it is "eukaryotic LSU rRNA". It matches the Rfam family "Eukaryotic large subunit ribosomal RNA", at positions 24 to 664 of the family's 3401-position model. The record is from RNAcentral. Lineage: Eukaryota; Fungi.
CCCGCUGAACUUAAGCAUAUCAAUAAGCGGAGGAAAAGAAACCAACAGGGAUUGCCCUAGUAACGGCGAGUGAAGCGGCAAAAGCUCAGAUUUGGAAUCUGGCGUCAUUGUGGCGUCCGAGUUGUAGUCUGAAGAGGGGAAUUCAAGUGUAGCUUUGGCUUAAGUUCCUUGGAACAGGACGUCAUAGAGGGUGAGAGCCCCGUUAAUGGCCUUUGUCUUAUGCUUAUGUGAAUCUCCUUCAAUGAGUCGAGUUGUUUGGGAAUGCAGCUCUAAAUGGGUGGUAAAUUCCAUCUAAAGCUAAAUACUGGCAAGAGACCGAUAGCGCACAAGUAGAGUGAUCGAAAGAUGAAAAGAACUCUGAACAGAGAGUUAAAUAGUACGUGAAAUUGUUGAAAGGGAAGCACUUGUAACCAGACACGCUUGCAGCUGAUCAAUUCUGAUUUUUGAGGAUGCACUCAGUUGUUAGCGAGCCAACAUCAGUCAUGGUGACAGGAAAAAGACCAAGGAAAGGUAGCUCCUUUCGGAGAGUGUUAUAGUCCUGGGUGUAAUGCUGCCUACUAUGAUUGAGGACCGCGCUUUGGCGAGGAUGUUGGCAUAAUGGUUUUAAGUGACCCGUCUUGAAACACGG